This 415-nucleotide long non-coding RNA is filed under the name Medicago truncatula (barrel medic). RNAcentral's name for it is "long non-coding RNA (MTRU_LNC007995)". Lineage: Eukaryota; Viridiplantae; Streptophyta; Magnoliopsida; Fabales; Fabaceae. The record is from RNAcentral.
UUGGAGAAGCUAUCAUCAUUCCUGCUGGAUGUCCAUACCAGAUUAGGAAUUCUAAGGUCUCAACUAACUUUAGUAUUUAACAUUUUCCCACCUGAUCUGUCUCUUCUAGUCAAUUAAGACAGCAAAAUAUUCCAACUGUUCUUGAAUAUACACUUCGAAAUUAUAGACUUCUGGUCAAUUUAGACAGAAAAAUAUUAUCUCAAUUUGAUUUAGAUAACACAUAACUUCAUAUUAAGUUUUAAAUUGAAUGGAUAUAUGACAAGUAAUUCAUUCUUGACCUGCAGUAUUGUGUUCAAGUGGUAUUGGAAUUUAUGUCUUCUGAGAGUGUUGCUGAGUGUAUCCAAUUGACUGAUGAGAUCCAUCUGCUUCCAGAAAACCACAAAGCAAAAGUAGACAAGAUUGAGGUGAACUGCAU